UAAACAAGAGUUGAACUUUUAUCAAAAAAAAAAAUAAUCCCUUUUUUUAUUUAUUGAAAAAAUAUUUAAUUUAAAUCGAUUUGCAUACAGAAUAGGUUGUGUUGCACUAAUUAAAUGAGUGCGGCCGCAUAAUAAAUUCCUGCCACAGAACGCGUCGUCAUAAUGAGGUGGGUCAGCGUGGCCGCGCCGCAUGCGGUUGUCCUCUUGCGCGCGCACAUGGGCCUCCGGGGACCACGUGGCCCGCACGCCUUGCGUUACCAUACCGAGGGACGGAUACACGUGUCUCCAUAGCCUCUUCGCGCGGCACGGGCCCCGCGCCGUCCUGCAGUAUGUAUUUAUUUCUUCUUUUUUUUUCCAAUUUAUUAUACAGAACAGACCAGGCCGGGCCACCGAAGUCAGACUAGGCCGGGCCGCAGGCCGAACCGGCCAGGUCCAUUUGACGCACUUCAAAGUAUCACUCGAUCAAAUUCGAUCGGCUUCCUCCAUCUCACCGACGGCAUUUGCAGUCGCCAUCGCCGUCGCGGCCUCCCACCCCGGCCGCAUCCCUCCCCACCCAGCGCUCCCCCAUGGAUUUCUUCCAUCCCUGCCGCCGCCACUUUCUUUCUCUUCCACCACCGAUUUCGGACUAGAAACCUACUUUUCGUCAAACACUUUGAAAUCCUCAAGCAGCAGUUGACCUCCCAAGUCUCUCCUCUUUCUGUUUGACAUGAAGGUGGGGCUAAGCUCGCUGACGCCGUCGGUGUCGUUCUCCCUCGAUUUGCGGGAUGCGGAUCUCCGCCUUUUCAAGGCUUCGCCAUGAGAGAUAGGGUGGAGAGGAAAAAUCAAGUGGUCAUUCUCAAGUGAAGUUGUUUCUUGAACUCACAACCUCUAAAAUUCGAUGAACUUGAACAGUCAAGUCCAGUCUCGGUUUUAGAAACUUUAUCUGAAGAUGAAACUUAUAGCUCCAGUUGCUUUGAAAGAUAAGUGCAAAGCUUAAAGGUAAGCCUACAAAAUUAUUGCAGAUGUUAGCUUCUCCUUGGUUUACUAAAUUUUCAUAUUUGCUUAUUUGGUUUUGCAAAACUGUAGAACUUUGAUCUCAACUUCAAUGCCUAAAAAUAGAAUCAGCAGGGACAUAUGCAGACGACAGUGAGGUUCUCAUGCCGAGACGAUGAAGAUUGUGCAGGUAGCGAUUCCAUGCUUCUGCCUUAGGGCAUUUACUUGAAGGAUUCAGAGACUUCACGAACCUAAUUGAUAUACCCGUGGAGUUGGGUAUUCAAUGCAUCAUGGUCAAGAUCAACUAAAAAUUUUGUUCGAUCUUAUAAGUUGAUGUUUAAAACUGCCAAUGCCGGUACCAAGUUCGGAUGAAAGAGAUUGAGGCCAAUGUUCUAUUUAAGUUGAGAUUUAGCACCCGCACCCACAGUUAAUAUCAAGUGAUGGGGUCGGUCCAUAAGGAUUUUGCACUCAAAACUGUGGUCAUCGUCGGUCUUCGGUGGGUGUGUUCUCGGACAAGGAGUUGGUAUGCAAAUAUAUUAAUUUUGUAAAAUAAUGAUCGAUCACUUAAUUGUUCAAGUUGCUCAUUUAGAUAACUAAGUUAGCCCAUGGGGUUAUGGUGCAACGACGGGACAUUUAGGUUGUCAUUUAGAUAUUCACGGUUCGAGCUUCAGUUAUAAUGAAAUUGUAAAAAAAAAAAUUUCAAAUGAGGCACGCAAUUAAAGGAUGUUGGGCUCUUGGAUUGUC
Zingiber officinale is the source of this 1716-nucleotide long non-coding RNA. RefSeq lists it as uncharacterized. The record is from RefSeq and is a predicted model, not a curated record. Lineage: Eukaryota; Viridiplantae; Streptophyta; Magnoliopsida; Zingiberales; Zingiberaceae. The transcript is spliced from 2 exons.